GAUGAACGCUGGCGGCGUGCCUAAUACAUGCAAGUCGAGCGAACAGACGAGGAGCUUGCUCCUCUGACGUUAGCGGCGGACGGGUGAGUAACACGUGGAUAACCUACCUAUAAGACUGGGAUAACUUCGGGAAACCGGAGCUAAUACCGGAUAAUAUAUUGAACCGCAUGGUUCAAUAGUGAAAGACGGUUUUGCUGUCACUUAUAGAUGGAUCCGCGCCGCAUUAGCUAGUUGGUAAGGUAACGGCUUACCAAGGCAACGAUGCGUAGCCGACCUGAGAGGGUGAUCGGCCACACUGGAACUGAGACGCGGUCCAGACUCCUACGGGAGGCAGCAGUAGGGAAUCUUCCGCAAUGGGCGAGAGCCUGACGGAGCAACGCCGCGUGAGUGAUGAAGGUCUUCGGAUCGUAAAACUCUGUUAUUAGGGAAGAACAAAUGUGUAAGUAACUAUGCACGUCUUGACGGUACCUAAUCAGAAAGCCACGGCUAACUACGUG
RNAcentral lists this ribosomal RNA (497 nucleotides) under uncultured bacterium. Its description in RNAcentral is "partial 16S ribosomal RNA". It matches the Rfam family "Bacterial small subunit ribosomal RNA", at positions 28 to 507 of the family's 1533-position model. The record is from RNAcentral.